This 253-nucleotide ribosomal RNA is filed under the name uncultured bacterium. RNAcentral's name for it is "partial 16S ribosomal RNA". It matches the Rfam family "Bacterial small subunit ribosomal RNA", at positions 524 to 776 of the family's 1533-position model. The record is from RNAcentral.
UACAGAGGUCUCGAGCGUUGUUCGGAUUCAUUGGGCGUAAAGGGUGCGUAGGCGGCGGGGCAAGUCUGAUGUGAAAUCCCGGGGCUCAACCCCGGAACUGCAUUGGAUACUGCCUUGCUAGAGUACUGGAGAGGAGACUGGAAUUUACGGUGUAGCAGUGAAAUGCGUAGAGAUCGUAAGGAAGACCAAUGGCGAAGGCAAGUCUCUGGACAGUGACUGACGCUGAGGCACGAAGGCCAGGGGAGCAAACGGG